UUAUAGCGAUCAGCUGGGAGCAGUUGGGGCCGAGCCCUUCAUGUCUCGGGCUGUCCACACUCCAAGCGCGGUGCGGGCGCCCAGGCCUCCAUCUUGCAUCUCACUGUGAGCCCGGCGCUUGCGCACACAGCUUGCCUGCUAUGCUGAGGGGUGGGUGCAGCCGCUUGCCACGAGGAGGAGCUCUGGUCUGAAGCCCCUGGUGCGAGGUCUCUGCUCAGACCACCCUGUGAGCAAGUGAAACUCAACCAAGCACGAAGGAAAGAAAGGACAAGGGGACGGACACUAAGAAGGGGAUGUAUUGUCUGCGUGUGUUGCCUUCACACCUUUGAAUUCUAAAGGGAUGGCAGGGGCAGCUAACAGAGAGCAGAGAGGAGGCAUCCGGAAUCCCAUGUGGCACAUUUAUGUCAACUGCAUGUCAAUCAGAUGCAAGUGAAGACUAAGCAGUUCCAGCACGGGAACCUCUGAAAAUCAAGACCACAUCAUCCUGAUGUUUUGGCAUUUUGCCCACUGCCUCAGCAUGUGCUUUUAAAGAGAGCUCUCUAUUGCCGUCUCAUGGUGAAUGAGUGAAUGGCUGGGAUUAGGAGACAAAACUGGCUACCACCACUAAGCAGGUUUGAGGCUCACCAUAUGAAGGAAUGUUUUCCUGGAAAGCUCUUCUUCUCCAGUCUGGCAUUCAUCCUUCUGAAACAUUUACCCUUCUGUCAGCUGGUCCUCUGGCCUAUUAAAACCAGAUCCCAGCUGGGAUGCCUUACACUGGUGACUUGGAGAACAAGAAAACAGUGCUACUUCUUCCUUCAUAACAAUAUAACUGAUGGGCUCAACAUUGUAAUCAGGUCAGUAAACUGCAUGUUUUACUGAUACUACUCGUCAAAUAGUUACACACUAGGUAAGGGGGAGUGAGGAAAUCCUUUUUUACUAACUAAAAAUGCUAUUUGACAAUACAGAGAAAAAAACCAUUAUAAUAAUCUGGUUUUCAUUGGCCUCGAUGGCGUACAGUUUAAUAUGUAUGUCUUUUGCAUUAAUAGGCAAAGAUAUUUACCUGUUGGGCAAACAAGGAAGCCUGCAUUCUCUGAAGAAAGGAUUAGAGGAACAGUCUAAAUGAAUGAGAUGUAACCAGAUAUCUGAGACAGCACACCUUCUUAUCUAAUAUAAUAUUUGGCCAGAGAAAGGAUAUUAUUUUAUAAGAGUAACCUUAUAAGAUAGAGGCCACCUGAUCAUCAUGAUCCAAACCUUUAUUUUCUAUCAAAGCAGGUCCCUUUGGGAAAGAUAUACUUAGAAAAUCAUGCUUUGUAUUCCUAUGCAGACUUUUUAGUGACAAAGUUAAUUUUACCUCUGAGACUUAAAUUGUGAAUAUGUUUUUAGAUAUAGUCAUUUUCUAAAUGUGCUGGAUUUAGCAUGGCUGAGGUAAUAUGAUUAUCUCAAAGAAAUAGACUUUUGUCUUGCAAAGCAUUCUUUUCAGGUUGAUGACUUUCAAAUAUCUUUAAUUACUUCAAGGACUCUAUACACACUCCUUUUUUUUUUUUUUUCACAUUUUUCUCCCAUAUAGGUUAUUACAGAAUAUUGAGUAGAGUUCCCUGUGCUAUAUAGAAGAUCCCUGUUGACCAUCCCUUCCAUAUACAAUUAUACAUACUCCCUUUUGGAUAACCUUUUAUUUCCCUACCCAGAUGCUUAUUUGUACUUAUAACCAUUUGACAGACUUUUCUUCAUUUCUUAAAAAUAAGGACCUCUCUUCUUACCCUGCGUUUCUUCAUCUGUUCUCUUAAAUCCACUUCCUUCCUCAUCCAUACAGACGUCCCAUUUCCUAACAUUUCUUUCUCCUACAUGAUUAAUUUAUCUUUGAUACUGGCUCAUUUUCCUUACUUUUUAAGAGAGCCGAGUGUAUUCCAUUCUCAAACUACCUAACUUGACACUGUGUUUCCCUGACAUUGCGUUUUCCCACUGUUUCUUCUGACACAUCUCCUGUAAAUUUCUUACUCUAUCUUUAUUCCUCUUUUUCUAUAUUAUUAACUGUAUUCUUUUCUCUCAUUUACCUUUUACUCCUCAAUUCACUGUGAUUCACUUUUAGCCUCCCACACUUUGUAAACUGCUCUUGAAGCUUAUGAACUAAUAUCUCAUUGCCAAUUCCAAGGAACAUUUUCCAAUUUGCAGCUUCCAUGUUUCUCUUAUGCAUGUUGACUUGUUCUAUGUGCUUGGUGUUGGUAACACCAUCUUCUCCUAGUUACCUUGCUCUGUCUGUGACCAUUUAUGUUCCUCCUAACCCUUCAAGUGUGGUGAACAGCCGACUUCUGACUUUUGCCCAAUAUUCUUCUUAUUUUACACAUCAUUCUUUAGUGGUAUCAUCUAGCUCCAGUCCUUUGCUCCAUCACUCCCAGUGCAUAUCUUUGGGACACACUUUUCUUUAAGUUUCUGUAGAUAAGCUUGCUGGACAUUUGAGACAUUGAGCUGUCCCAAACACUCCUUAAACUCAAUAUGCCCCAAAUUAAAUGUAUCAGUUCCCCCAGUUAUAAUUUAGACUCAUUCUAUCAUCAGUAUUUUUUUUUUUAGAAAUUCAGAAGUACCAAAAUUUAUAAAGAAUAAGUUAGCAAUUGCUGCUAUAUAUGAGUGAUAGAAAGAUACUUUUUAGGUCCAGGUUCAGGGACAGAUCAAUGUUAUCCCUGUUCCCAGCUUUAUAUAAGAAGACUAGAUCUGGUUUCCUACUAUAUUCAGAGAAGCCCCUUAACUCCUGACUUUAGAUAGGUGUAAAACCUCAGCCUUUAAUUAAAGAAUAUCUUAUCUUGUACCUCCUUUGUCCUAGCCUUCUUGUAUCACUUCCCUCAAGUGUCACCCCAAACUUCAUGAAUAACAAUCUAGCUCCUGGAGUUUUUAUGAAAUUCAACAUAGUUACUCAGAAUUCUAUUGUAUCUGAAGUGUAUGGGUAUGAAGAACUGAUGGAGAAGGGAGGGGAGGUAUUCUUGUAUCUGCUUUGCUUGAAUUGCCAAUUUACAUGGAAAUGCCAGUAGGCACUUAUUGAACCACUGAGUUCCAGACAAACUCUCCCUGCCCCUACUAUGUGGUCAUCAUCAUCCUACAUUCUUAUGGUAACAGAAUUAAUUUUUAUUUAGUAAUCAGAUUAGUAACUGGCAUGAAGUAGCCCAGAGGCAUGAAGAACAAAAAUUGACUAACAACAACCAUGACUUUGAAAUAUUGACUAAUUCAUUAAUUUCACCUGUUAAAAUCACCUUUAUUUAAGGAUUCAAUAAAAUGAACCCAUUUUAGUAUGGAGUUCAAUAAGUUUUGAACUCAUUGGCUCACCAUCCUAAUCAAAAUAAGGAAUAUUUUACCAUACCCAAAAUUUCCCUCAUGCUCUGCUGAUCUCAUCUUAACUUGACGAUAUUUGCAAAGACCUUAUUUCUAAUUAAGGUCAUGUUCUGAUGCACUGAGGUUAAGACUUAAACAUAUCUUUCACCAUCACUCUCCUUUUCCUGAGAGUAUUCCUUAUGAAAAAUAAUCCCUGUUCAGUGACAGAACUGUUCAAGCAGAUUCAGGAAUCACAAGUAAAUUUUAUGAACAGGAAGUUCAAGUUCCCCUGUCACCUCUCUCAAAAAACAUUUAUGGUUUCUGGGCCGUUUCCUUCAACAAUUAACAGAACUCAAUAUAUAACUUCUAAGCAAGAGUGAAUCAUCGCUACACUAAACCUUCUUAGAGGUGGUCAUGAGGAAAAGUUAAGAGAAAUCUUCCCAGUUGGCAGAGUUGCAAGCCAUGCAUUUGUAUAUUUGUGCUGUGUGAAUAAAGAAUUGAGCUAAAGGGUGGAUAUCCAUGGACUUACGGGCCAUGGUGAAUAGUCUGGUUAUCCAGAGAUGUUGAAAAAUCAAGAUUUAGCAACCAGAAACAAAGACUUUUGAGGGAGAGACACACUGGAUAGACUUAUGGGAGUGGGCGCACAGACUGAGAAUCAUCACGUCUCAUGUCCCACCAGCAUCUACCUCACAGGAGUCACUAAAUAUCAGCUGCAUAAGAUGACUCAACCCAUGGACACUAGCCAGUCUUUCUCCUUGGUUAUCCUAGUACUUACACAGUGGGCCUAUGAACAGAGUAGCGAUAAUGGCAGGAAUAGAGGCUGCCUGUUGGUAGGGCUGAUAAUUUCUGACUACCUUCUUGCUAGCAGAGAUCAGCACUAAGCCCUUGAUUUGAUAUCAUUCCUCAGAAAGACCAGGUAUCAGAGUUCCUGUCAUGGUCCAGUGGAAACGAAUCCGACUAGGAACCAUGAGGUUGCGAGUUCGAUCCCUGGCCUCGUUCAGUGGGUUAAGGAUCUGGCGUUGCUGUGAGCUGUGGUGUAGGUCACAGAUGCAGUUCAGAUCUGUUGUUGCUGUGGCUCUGGCGUAGGCCAGCAGCUGUAGCUCCAAUUAGACACCUAGCCUGGGAACCUCCAU
RNAcentral lists this long non-coding RNA (4409 nucleotides) under Sus scrofa (pig). RNAcentral's name for it is "lncRNA (ENSSSCG00000050918.2)". Lineage: Eukaryota; Metazoa; Chordata; Mammalia; Artiodactyla; Suidae. The record is from RNAcentral.